This is a long non-coding RNA of Oncorhynchus tshawytscha (Chinook salmon), 387 nucleotides long. The record is from Ensembl. NCBI's taxonomy places the organism in Eukaryota, Metazoa, Chordata, Actinopteri, Salmoniformes, Salmonidae.
GGGACCAAUAUUUCUGUCGGACGCGUACUGUCUUCGAGUGUGCAAAGGACACACCAUCUCAUUGACUGCGCCUGUCCCUACAUAGGAAGACGCAAUGAGAGCUUAGGUAAGCUCCUCCACGACCUGUUCUGCAGCAACACAACUCCCCUGGACUACACCCCUGGACUACACCAGCCACGGAGUAACAGCAACAAGAGAUAGCCGUGGGAGAGUCAGAGUUCUGCUCCUGGAAUACAAACAAGUCCUGUCUCUAUAACACCCCUCCUGCAUUUGUAAUCCACCGACUCUGAUGACGAAGGGGGAAAAAAGUUUGCUUUCACCUCUGGCGAACAGUUUUGCCUGCAGUGCUGAAAAGGCGUUGUGUUUCCAGCUCAUUUGUUUGUUUAA